CAGCAGCCGCGGGAAUACGUAGGGUGCAAGCGUUAAUCGGAAUUACUGGGCGUAAAGCGUGCGCAGGCGGUUUGUUAAGACAGAUGUGAAAUCCCCGGGCUCAACCUGGGAACUGCAUUUGUGACUGGCAAGCUAGAGUGUGGCAGAGGGGGGUGGAAUUCCGCGUGUAGCAGUGAAAUGCGUAGAUAUGCGGAGGAACACCGAUGGCGAAGGCAGCCCCCUGGGCCAACACUGACGCUCAUGCACGAAAGCGUGGGGAGCAAACAGGAUUAGAUACCCCGGUAGUCCCUGUCUCUUAUAC
RNAcentral lists this ribosomal RNA (301 nucleotides) under uncultured bacterium. RNAcentral describes it as "partial 16S ribosomal RNA". It matches the Rfam family "Bacterial small subunit ribosomal RNA", at positions 509 to 807 of the family's 1533-position model. The record is from RNAcentral.